RNAcentral lists this long non-coding RNA (280 nucleotides) under Cyanistes caeruleus (blue tit). Its description in RNAcentral is "lncRNA (ENSCCEG00000008484.1)". Lineage: Eukaryota; Metazoa; Chordata; Aves; Passeriformes; Paridae. The record is from RNAcentral.
CUCAGGGUCACACUGCAAGAGCCACCAAGCCUUGCUGGAGGGCUGGGCAUGGACUCCUGCCUCCCCUCCUGAGGGGGCUUCCAGCAAAAAUACUGUAGGCAGCUCAGCUGCAGAUCAGCUUGGAAGGGAUUUCUCUUGGCACAGCAUAGGGAAGAAAGGAUCAAGUACUGCAAAUAAGGUAUGAAUCAUUUAAUCCUGACACUUUGUACUGUGAUUCAUAUUGCAAGUGAAAGUAUGCCUUGGGGUAAAUAAAAUGCUGACUCUGCAGGAGGAAGUGUCA